UUUUUUAUAAAUAUAAUUUUUAAAAAGUUUAAAUUUUAUGUUAAUUUUAUCAAACAUUUUUUUGAAAAAUUUAUUUUAUUAAAAAUGACUUAUAUUUAUAUAUUUAGUAUUGUGAAAGAAUUUAGAAAAAAAUUAAAUUAAAAAUUUUUUAUUUGUACCUUUUGUAUCAGGGUUAUUUAAAAUUUUUGUUUUUAUUAAAUAUUUCUCGAAAUAAUUAGAAUUAAAGUUAUAUAUUUUUUAUAGUUGAAUUUAUAUUAUUCAUAUAAUUUUAGAAGAAAAAUUUUAUUCAAUAAUUAUUAUAUCUAGUUUUUUUAUAAAUAAAUUAAAUUUAAUUUAUUUUUUUUAUAAAAAUUUAUUAAUUUAAUUUUUAUAAUUUUAAUAAUUAAGAAUUUUUGGGAUAAGCUAGAAAUUUAUUUUAAUAUAUUAUUUAAAUUAAUUUUUAAGUAUUAAAUAAAUUUAGAAUUUGUUAUUUUUAAUUAAUAUAUAAUAAUAAAUUAAUUUUAUUUUAAUAAUUUAUUUAUAUUAAUUUAAUUUUUUAUAAAAAUUUUAUUUUUAAUUUUUUAGAAUAAAUAAUAAUGAAUAAAUUAGUAAAUAUGUUAUAUAAUUAUAUUAUAAUAAUUUUUUUUUAAGAUUAAAUUAAUGAAUUCGGCAAAAAAUUUUUAUCCAAAUGUUUAAUAAAAACAUUUUCUGUUGAUUUUAAUAAUAGGUAAUUUCUGCUCAAUGAUUAUUUAAUUAAAUAGCUGCAAUUAUUGUACUAAGGUAGCAUAAUCAAUUGUUUUUUUAAUGAAAACUAGAAUGAAAGAAUUAAUGAGAUAUAAGCUUUAUAAUUUUAAAUUAUUUAAAUUUUAUUUUAUGUAAAAAUUCAUAGAAGUAUUUAAAAGACGAGAAGACCCUGUAGAAUUUUAUAAAUUAAUUUUUAAAUUUAUUUUAUUUAAAAUUGUUUAAAAAUUUUUUUUUAUUAAGUUGGGGAUAUUUUAAAAUUUAAUAAAAUUUUAAUUACUUGAAAUUUAUUUAUAAAUUUAUUUAAUUUUUAUUAUUAAUAAAUUUAAAAUUAAAUUACCUCAGGGAUAACAGCGUAAUAGAUUUAUAAGAUCUUUUUUGAAAAUUUGUUUGCGACCUCGAUGUUGGAUUAAGAUAAAUUAUUAGUGUAGAUGCUAAUAAAUUAAGUCUGUUCGACUUUUAAAUUCUUACAUGAUUUGAGUUUAGAUCGGUGUGAGCCAGAUCGGAUUCUAUCUUUAAAAAAUUAAUUUUAAUUUUGUACGAAAGGACUUUUUAAUUUUAAUAAUUAAUUUAUAUAGAAUUAAAUUAAU
RNAcentral lists this ribosomal RNA (1310 nucleotides) under Diaphorencyrtus aligarhensis. Its description in RNAcentral is "16S ribosomal RNA". The record is from RNAcentral. Lineage: Eukaryota; Metazoa; Arthropoda; Insecta; Hymenoptera; Encyrtidae.